Molecule: ribosomal RNA, 459 nt
Filed under: uncultured bacterium
Lineage: Bacteria
Description: partial 16S ribosomal RNA
Rfam family: Bacterial small subunit ribosomal RNA
Source: RNAcentral
CCUACGGGAGGCAGCAGUGAGGAAUAUUGGUCAAUGGCCGCGAGGCUGAACCAGCCAAGUCGCGUGAGGGAAGAAUGCCCUAUGGAUUGUAAACCUCUUUUGUCAGGGAGCAAAGUCACCCACGUGUGGGUGUCUGAGAGUACCUUACGAAUAAGCAUCGGCUAACUCCGUGCCAGCAGCCGCGGUAAUACGGAGGAUGCGAGCGUUAUCCGGAUUUAUUGGGUUUAAAGGGUGCGUAGGCGGGUUAUCAAGUCAGCGGUAAAAUCGUGGAGCUCAACUCCAUCCAGCCGUUGAAACUGAUGGUCUUGAGUGGGCGAGAGGCAGGCGGAAUGCGUGGUGUAGCGGUGAAAUGCAUAGAUAUCACGCAGAACUCCGAUUGCGAAGGCAGCAUACCGGGGCCCGACUGACGCUGAGGCACGAAGGCGUGGGUAUCGAACAGGAUUAGAUACCCGUGUAGUC